CCUACGGGAGGCAGCAGUGGGGGAUAUUGCUCAAUGGGCGAAACUCUGAUCCAGCGACGUCGCGUGAGUGAAGAAUGAUCUCGGUGUGUAAAGCUCUAUCAGCAGGGAAGAAAAUGACAGUACCUGACCAAGAAUCCCCGGCUAACUACGUGCCAGCAGCCGCGGUAAUACGUAGGGGGCAAGCGUUAUACGGAUUGACUGGGUGUAAAGGGGGCGUAGACGGUUAUGUAGGUCUGGAGUGAAAGCCCGGGGCCCAACCCCGAGACUGCUGUGGAAACUGUGUAACUGGAGUACAGGAGGGGCAGGCGGAAUUCGUGGUGUAGCGGUGAAAUGCGUAGAUAUCAGGAGGAACACCGGCGGCGAAGGCGGCCUGCUGGACUGAAACUGACGUUGAGGCUCGAAAGCGUGGGGAGCGAACAGGAUUAGAUACCCGAGUAGUC
RNAcentral lists this ribosomal RNA (440 nucleotides) under uncultured bacterium. Its description in RNAcentral is "partial 16S ribosomal RNA". It matches the Rfam family "Bacterial small subunit ribosomal RNA", at positions 338 to 795 of the family's 1533-position model. The record is from RNAcentral.